CCUACGGGUGGCAGCAGUGGGGAAUAUUGCGCAAUGGGCGAAAGCCUGACGCAGCGACGCCGCGUGAGGGAUGAAGGUCUUCGGAUCGUAAACCUCUGUCAGCAGGGAAGAACGGUCACGGGGCUAAUCAGCAGUGAAUUGACGGUACCUGCAAAGGAAGCACCGGCUAACUCCGUGCCAGCAGCCGCGGUAAUACGGAGGGUGCGCGCGUUAAGCGGAAUUACUGGGCGUAACGCGCUCGUAGGCGGUAUGUCAAGUCAAGGGUGAAAUCCCCGCGCGCAACGUGGGAACUGCCUUUGAAACUGGCAAACUGGUGUGUGUGAGAGGUUAGUGGACUUCCAGGUGUAGGAGU
Molecule: ribosomal RNA, 352 nt
Filed under: uncultured bacterium
Lineage: Bacteria
Description: partial 16S ribosomal RNA
Rfam family: Bacterial small subunit ribosomal RNA
Source: RNAcentral